UACGAAGGGGGCUAGCGUUGUUCGGAAUUACUGGGCGUAAAGCGCACGUAGGCGGACUUGUAAGUCAGGGGUGAAAUCCCGGGGCUCAACCCCGGAACUGCCUUUGAUACUGCGGGUCUUGAGGUCGAGAGAGGUGAGUGGAAUUCCGAGUGUAGAGGUGAAAUUCGUAGAUAUUCGGAGGAACACCAGUGGCGAAGGCGGCUCACUGGCUCGAUACUGACGCUGAGGUGCGAAAGCGUGGGGAGCAAACGGG
RNAcentral lists this ribosomal RNA (253 nucleotides) under uncultured bacterium. RNAcentral describes it as "partial 16S ribosomal RNA". It matches the Rfam family "Bacterial small subunit ribosomal RNA", at positions 524 to 776 of the family's 1533-position model. The record is from RNAcentral.